This 253-nucleotide ribosomal RNA is filed under the name uncultured bacterium. RNAcentral describes it as "partial 16S ribosomal RNA". It matches the Rfam family "Bacterial small subunit ribosomal RNA", at positions 524 to 776 of the family's 1533-position model. The record is from RNAcentral.
GACGUAGGGCGCGAGCGUUGUCCGGAUUUAUUGGGCGUAAAGAGCUCGUAGGCGGCUUGUCGCGUCGUCCGUGAAAACCUGAGGCUUAACCUUGGGCGUGCGGGCGAUACGGGCAGACUGGAGUACUGCAGGGGAGACUGGAAUUCCUGGUGUAGCGGUGAAAUGCGUAGAUAUCGAGAGGAACACCUGCGGCGAAGGCGGGUUGCUGGGCUGAUACUGACGCUGAGGCGCGAAAGCCAGGGGAGCGAACGGG